UUUAUAUUUUUGAACAUUAAAAACAAUGGAUGCAUGGUACCCCGCAAUAUAGAGACUGACAGCACUUGUAAAAUGCAGUAAAUAUCACUGAGACAAAUAAUAAGAAUGUCAGAGGGAAGAAGAAAUGAAGCCAAGUGCUAAUAAGUACAAUAUAGCUUAAAUUAAAAGAUUAACAGGAGAAAAUUUUCAAAUGAUAAUUUUCUAGGAAAAGGAGAUAACUCAGUUUUUGUCAGGUUAAUUUACAAAGUGAUGGGCUUGAGUGAAAAAAAAUACCAAAUUCAAGGGGCAGAAAAACCCAGUGAUUAAGUCCACAAAUCCUAGGUUAAAAACACCUGGGCUGUAAUUCUAGAUCUGCUACCUAUUUAUCAGAAGUGUAACCUUGAACAGCACACUCAACUCCUCUUAACCUCAUUUUUCUGUACAAUAGAAAUGACAAUAAUAGUACCCCAUAGACUUAAAGAAUCAAAAGUGUAUGUGCAUGCCUGUGUGUGGCUGGGAGCGUGGAAGAGCAUCUGGAGAAAGAGCACUCAGAAUAGCAUUUGGUCCAAAGUAGCUAUUAUGGUCGAAUGUAACAGUUUACUGUUAUUAGAACUAGGGUAAUAUUCUACAUAAUUAUACUUUCUCUUAUGUCUUAUUAUAUAAAGGUGCAUCAUUUCUUGGCACUACUCUAUUACAGUGUCUGCACAGUUUGGAGUAACCUUCCUGGAAAAUACAUAUUUAUGUAACAUAUGAAUUCCUCAUCCCAUGUUUUACUAAAUGAGUGAGCCCUUUUCCAGAAAUGUAAAAUUGAUAGGAUUGCUUCUGGGGUUUACUUGAGCUGAACACAAGUACACUCAGAAGCAGAGGCUAAAACAUACAGCAGGUCCUUGGUCAUUUUGUUUAACGUUAUUUUGUUAUAACACUGAUGGAAAAAAUCGAUUUCCAGCAGAGGCCAAUGUCUAUGUGGAAUUGGCACGUUCUUUCCAUGUCUAUGUGGGUCUUCUCUGGGUACUCCCGUUUCCCUCCACUUCUCAACUCUCUGUGUGUUGGGUGAAUUGGCAUGUCUACAUAGGCCCUGCUUGAGUGAUUGUGGUUGGGUAUGUGAGCGCGCCCUGCGGUAGGAUGGCUUCCUGAAGAGAGCUGGUUUACACCUCAUGCCCUGAGCUCCUGGUGUAGGAUCUGGCCACCUGUGAUCCUGAACUGGAGUAAGGAGUUUUCAAUAACCUAUGGACACCGUUGAGGACUCAUUGAAUGUGGCUAUAAGUGUGGUCAAGUAAUGAAAACUGAUCAGCUGAGGGAGGAAAAAGACAAAAGUGGAUGACCAAAAUGAAGCUCCAGAAUCUUUCGAGGACUGCCUAUGUUUCCUGUUUUGGAUUAGGAAAAUGUGGCACAUAUACACCAUGGAAUACUACACAGCCAUAAAAAAUGAUGAGUUCAUGUCCUUUGUAGGGACAUGGAUGAAACUGGAAACCAUCAUUCUCAGCGAACUAUCGCAAGGAUAAAAAACCAAACACCGCAUGUUCUCACUCAUAGGUGGGAACCGAACAAUGAGAACACGUGGACACAGGAAGGGGAACAUCACACUCCGGGGACUGUUGUGGGGUGGGGGUAGGGGGGAGGGAUAGCCUUAGGAGAUAUACCUAAUGCUAAUGAUGAGUUAAUGGGUGCAGCACACCAACAUGGCACAUGUAUACAUAUGUAACAAACCUGCACAUUGUGCACAUGUACCCUAAAACUUAAAGUAUAAUAAUAAUAAAAUGUAAAAAAUUAAUUAAUUAAUUAAAAAAUAAACAACAAAUUUAAAAAAAAAAAAGAGAUACCCCCAAUACACUGCCUAUAAAUUAAGGUUAAGUGACUUUGAAUUUGUUUUGCUGUUGUUGUUUAUAAACAAAAGAAUAUUGUCUAAAACCUGUUUGAAAAUAUAAACUGUAUAAAUUAUUAAAUAUUUGGUUGUGCUUAUGCAUUUGCCAGAAGAAACAGAAAAAUGCACUUGAGAUUUGUAUUGAAACCUUACAGUGGUUUGUUUAGGAGGAAAUGGACUCAUCAUUUGACCACAUAGAAGCUAUCCAAUCAAAAAGUUUCAGGGAAAAGUAUGGUGUGUUCAUUGCAGAAUGAAAGAAAAUCAGCAGUUAAGCUGAUUUUGUUAUGACAAGCUCAAUAUGUUUCACAAGAAGAUUAUUCAGUGCUAGAAAGUCUAGAAUACCAUUGGCUUUUCCUUCCAACUAGCCAGAUGACCACCUAUAAAUGAUUAAUAACUUCAUUGUAGACAGUUAUAGAGAUUGUAACUGAAAAUAGCUACAGAAAAGACAAAGAUUCAGUGGUACUGAAGCCCAAUAAGUAAUAUUUGCCAAAUAUACCCCAUCUCUAAUUCUCAUUCAUAGGCUGAACUUCCUGUCUUAUAGUUUCUUUCCUUUUUCUGCAUUUAAAAGUUCCUUCUUUUUAAAAGUGUUGAAAAUGAAUGAGAAAAAGCUGGAUAGGAAUGAAGAGAGAACCAAUUUUGUUUCAUUAAACAUAGUAAUAAAGAAAAACAGUUGAUAGUUGAAAAGAGAAUGCCCUAAAAUCUGCAUUACAAAAAUGUUUUACCUGUGAUAUAUCUGCUUCAUACUGAUCAAGAAUUAGGGGGGAAAAAUGUAAUUUUUAAAGGAAAGGAAUUAAAGCAAUCACUUAUUUAGUUAUUCCUAGAAAGCCCCUUUAAACCUGGUUCCUCUUUUAGUCUUCCCUGUUUUGGAAAAUGGCACUAUUGAGUAUCCCUCGUCACCAACUAGGAAAAAGGCAUGAGGCUCCUCCCUUCUCUCUCAUUCAUGACUCCUCCUUUGUAUUCAAUCCAUGAAUAAGGAGUCCAAAGAAAUCUCACACUCACCUGUUGUUCUGUGUCUUCUCUGCCACUCUGCUGGUCAAGCCUCCCCAUGACUUACGUGGAUCACUGCAGAAAAUACCACAUUUUUUCUCUGAGCUUCACUCAGGCCCCAUUCAAUCUACAUCUCUGCCAUAUAAUACCGGGAUGAGCUUUCAAACUGUAAAUCACACCAUGUCCCUGCCCUAAAACCUUUCACUGGCCUCCCAUAGAUAAUGGGUAAAAAUACCAGAGGACUGUUACCUGCAACAGCUAGCCCCUGCCUACCUGUUCAAACUCAAAUACAUUGCUUUUCUCCCACUCCCACUCUCCCUCCUCAGCUCUCAUAUGUGCUAUACUUCAACUCACUAGCCUUGUGAACGUUCCUAAAAGUUCCUAAAAGAAGGCAACCAUUGCCCCUGGAAGGACUGAUUGUUUAUCCUACAGGUCUCAGCUGAAUUUCGCCUCCUGAACACCCUGUUUAAAUUGGCUCCUUACCCCAGGUCAUUCUCUAGCGUUACACUAUUUGUUUCCAUUUUAGAACUUAAACUAAAUAUUUAAUCUGUAUCCUUGCUUAUUGUCUGUUUUUUUGUUUUUGUUUUUGUUUUCUUACUAGAAUAUAAGGUCUAUACAGAUAGUGGUCAUGGUUCUUUUACUCACCUCGCAGUAUCCGUGACAUGAACGAAUCUAAGAUUAGUAUUUUUAAGGAUAGAGUUCUAACAAUGUCCAUAUUAAAAGAAGAAAUGAAACUCUGACUCUAAUUUUACUGUACUUUAAAUUAAAUAUCAAUUCAACAGAAACACGCCAAUUGACUUGGUUAGAAAAUUAGUAUUCAGGAUACAUUUACUAUCUUAGAUGGUGGUUCUUAGUCCUUCAAACACUAUGUUAGAUUCUGAUUGCCAUUUUAACUAAUUACCACAAAUUUUGUAGCUUCAAACAACACAAUUUUUUACUUGUUUAUUUUAUCAUA
Molecule: long non-coding RNA, 3782 nt
Filed under: Homo sapiens (human)
Lineage: Eukaryota; Metazoa; Chordata; Mammalia; Primates; Hominidae
Description: HSALNT0339240
Source: RNAcentral